This 200-nucleotide long non-coding RNA is filed under the name Lathyrus oleraceus (garden pea). RNAcentral's name for it is "Pisum sativum (pea) long non-coding RNA (PSAT_LNC020191)". Lineage: Eukaryota; Viridiplantae; Streptophyta; Magnoliopsida; Fabales; Fabaceae. The record is from RNAcentral.
AAACUUCGAGAGGAAAAGGGUCUCUUUUGACCCUAUUCAUAUGUCAUACGCCGAACUCUACCCAUUUUUGGUUCUCAAGAACCUACUUCAACCAAGAAAUCUACCGCAAAUUCCCGAACCACUUCCAUGGUGGUAUAAGCCUGAACUCCAUGAUCACACUAAAAUUUACGUAUUUUCGACUCCGAUUCCACAUGCAUUCU